RNAcentral lists this long non-coding RNA (313 nucleotides) under Solanum tuberosum (potato). RNAcentral describes it as "long non-coding RNA (STUB_LNC010320)". Lineage: Eukaryota; Viridiplantae; Streptophyta; Magnoliopsida; Solanales; Solanaceae. The record is from RNAcentral.
CAUUGCAAACUGGAAUGGGAGAUCUGAAUUGGACUCUGAACUAAUUCUUAUUCCAAAGCUUGUAGUGAAUUCUGCAGGCUUAAGCGCUCCAGCCAUUGCAAAACGAAUGAAAGGUCUACCUGACGGUAUUAUACCUGCUUCUCAUUAUGCUCGUGGUUGCUACUUCACACUUUCAAACACUAAAUCCCCUUUCAAGCAUUUGAUUUAUCCUAUACCUGAGGUUGGUGGCCUUGGAGUGCAUGUUACCUUGGAUUUGAAUGGCCAAGUCAAAUUUGGUCCUGAUGUCGAAUGGAUUAAAGGAAUUGAUGAUAUU